UGCGGAGGGGGCUAGCGUUGUUCGGAAUUACUAGGCGUAAAGCGCACGUAGGCGGAUCAGAAAGUCAGAGGUGAAAUCCCAGGGCUCAACCUUGGAACUGCCUUUGAAACUCCUGAUCUUGAGGUCGAGAGAGGAGAGUGGAAUUCCGAGUGUAGAGGUGAAAUUCGUAGAUAUUCUGAGGAACACCAGUGGCGAAGGCGGCUCACUGGAACGAUACUGACGCUGAGGUGCGAAAGCGUGGGGAGCAAACAGG
Molecule: ribosomal RNA, 253 nt
Filed under: uncultured bacterium
Lineage: Bacteria
Description: partial 16S ribosomal RNA
Rfam family: Bacterial small subunit ribosomal RNA
Source: RNAcentral